ACUUAAUAUAGCUUAUAAAAAGCGUUACAUUGAAGCUGUAGAGAAGGUUUUUUACCUAUAAGUG
RNAcentral lists this transfer RNA (64 nucleotides) under Typhlatya taina. Its description in RNAcentral is "tRNA-Phe". The record is from RNAcentral. Lineage: Eukaryota; Metazoa; Arthropoda; Malacostraca; Decapoda; Atyidae.